CUGCUGCCUCCCGUAGGAGUCUGGGCCGUGUCUCAGUCCCAAUGUGGCCGGCCACCCUCUCAGGUCGGCUACUGAUCGUCGCCUUGGUGGGCUUUUAUCUCACCAACUAGCUAAUCAGACGCGGAUCCAUCCCAUACCACCGGAGUUUUUCACACAAGGCCAUGCAGCCUCGUGCGCUUAUGCGGUAUUAGCAGCCGUUUCCGGCUGUUAUCCCCCGGUAUGGGGCAGGUUAUCCACGCGUUACUCACCCGUCCG
Molecule: ribosomal RNA, 255 nt
Filed under: uncultured bacterium
Lineage: Bacteria
Description: partial 16S ribosomal RNA
Source: RNAcentral